Molecule: non-coding RNA, 965 nt
Organism: Ictidomys tridecemlineatus (thirteen-lined ground squirrel)
Lineage: Eukaryota; Metazoa; Chordata; Mammalia; Rodentia; Sciuridae
Source: RefSeq, a predicted model, not a curated record
UUCAGGGGCUAACGGCAGUAAAUAUCGGGCUUGGACAACUAAGAGGACCAUGGACCUGGGAAAAGGAAAAGUCCAUCACUCCUUCCUAGUGAUCCCAGAAUGCCCAGCCCCAUUGAUGGGCAGGGAUCUGCUCACCAAACUCCAGGCCAGAAUAACUUUUAACCCUGAAGGCCCCCAAAUGGAAUUUCUAAAUCCUUCAGUAAAAACUUUUAUAGUCAUGGCUUUAACUAUAUCAGUAAAAGAUGAACAUCAACUCUUCACACACCCCCAAAACUGAUCAAACAGGAAAGCUAUCCCAGAAAUGGAUAACAGAUUACCCAGAUGCCUGGGCAGAAACUGCUAAAUUAGGCCUAGCCAUAAAACAACCUCCAAUAAUGGUGGAGUUAAAAACUUCAGCCUCCCCAAUUAAUAUUAAACAAUAUCCUCUGAGCAAAGAAGCUAAAGAUGGGAUAAGGCCCCAUAUUCAGAAAUAUCUGGCCUUGGGGGUCCUAAGGCCCUGUCAAUCAGCCUGGAACACUCCCCUGCUACCAGUAAAAAAGGCAGAAACUGGGGACUAUCGCCCCAUUCAAGAUCUAAGAGAGACCAACAACAGAGUGUAGGACAUUCACUCCACAGUACCUAACCCGUACAAUCUGCUUAGCACCCUAAACCCUGAUCAAAAAUGGUAUACUGUCCUAGACUUAAAAGAUGCUUUCUUUUGCUUGCCUCUGCAUAAAGAUAGUUGCUGUUUGCUUUCGAGUGCGUAGACCCAGAAACCAGAACGUCUGGUCAACUAACUUGGACCAGACUCCCAUAGGGGUUCAAAAACUCCCCCACUCUCUUUGAUGAAGCCCUCCAAAGAGAUCUCAACAACUUCAGAACUAUGCACCCCGAAGUCACCCUGCUUCAAUAUAUGGAUGACCUGCUACUGACAGCCGAUACCAAGGAAAACUAUACAUUUUCAGGAUGAAUUGAAGCCUUCCCCA